CCUACGGGCGGCAGCAGUGGGGAAUAUUGGACAAUGGGGGGAACCCUGAUCCAGCGACGCCGCGUGAGUGAAGAAGUAUCUCGGUAUGGAAAGCUCUAUCAGCAGGGAAGAAAAUGACGGUACCUGACUAAGAAGCCCCGGCUAACUACGUGCCAGCAUCCGCGGUAAUACGGAGGGGGCAAGCGUUAUCCGGAUUUACUGGGGGUAAAGGGGGCGUAGACGGGGCAGCAAGUCUGAUGGGAAAGGUCGGGGCCCAACCCCGGGACUGCAUUGGAAACUGUUGAACUGGAGUACAGGAGAGGUAAGCGGAAGUCCUAGUGUAGCGGUGAAAUGCGUAGAUAUUAGGAGGAACACCAGUGGCGAAGGCGGCUUACUGGACUGUAACUGACGUUGAGGCUCGAAAGCGUGGGGAGCAAACAGGAUUAGAUACCCUUGUAGUC
This 440-nucleotide ribosomal RNA is filed under the name uncultured bacterium. RNAcentral's name for it is "partial 16S ribosomal RNA". It matches the Rfam family "Bacterial small subunit ribosomal RNA", at positions 338 to 795 of the family's 1533-position model. The record is from RNAcentral.